Molecule: ribosomal RNA, 262 nt
Filed under: uncultured Rhogostoma
Lineage: Eukaryota; Cercozoa; Thecofilosea; Cryomonadida
Description: partial 18S ribosomal RNA
Rfam family: Eukaryotic small subunit ribosomal RNA (bases 44-262)
Source: RNAcentral
GAUUUCUGGCGAACCGUUGCGGCCCGUGGUCGUUGGCCGGACGUACGUGAUCUGGAUCGAUUACUUUGAAAAAAUUAGAGUGUUUAAAGCAGGCUUAUGCUGUGAAUACAUUAGCAUGGAAUAAUAAUUUAGGACUUCGGUUCUAUUUUGUUGGUUUCUAGGACUGAAGUAAUGAUUGAUAGGGACAGUUGGGGGUGCUAGUAUUCCGCGGCCAGAGGUGAAAUUCUUGGAUUCGCGGAAGACUAACUACUGCGAAAGCAUU